This is a long non-coding RNA of Acipenser ruthenus (sterlet), 412 nucleotides long. RefSeq lists it as uncharacterized. The transcript is spliced from 3 exons. NCBI's taxonomy places the organism in Eukaryota, Metazoa, Chordata, Actinopteri, Acipenseriformes, Acipenseridae. The record is from RefSeq and is a predicted model, not a curated record.
UCCAUCCUCGCUGUUCCGCUUCAGUGGCUAGUUGAGCAUACCGCAGUUUCUUCCUCUCAUACGCCUCAUCUACAGCAUCCUCCCAUGGCACUGUUAACUCUACCAGGUGAACAAGGCGUGCUGAUCCAGACCACAAGACAAUAUUUGGUCGAAGGAACCCCGACACAACAGACUGCUCAACACCGAUGAUGCAAUCUCUUCUGGGAUGUCUCGCGACAAUAAGCCGUGAGGCAAUCAAAUCAGUCUUUCUGAGCCUUGUCAUUGAAUAAGGCUAGGUACAAGGAACAAAAUGAUGUGUAUCCCUACAUGCCAAUUCUGAUGAUACACUUCAAAAUCACAGGAAACACAGCUUCAAGAGGAGGCUUACUUGACUACUGAGGAUUCUCAGGCCGUCUGCCUCCAAGCUUGGACU